GAUGAACGCUGGCGGCGUGCCUAAUACAUGCAAGUCGAGCGAACAGACGCGGAGCUCGCUCCUUUGACGUUAGCGGAGGACGGGUGAGUAACACGUAGGUAACCUACCUAUAAGACUGGGAUAACUUCGGGACACCGGAGCUAAUACCGGAUAAUAUUUCGAACCGCAUGGUUCGAUAGUGAAAGAUGGCUUUGCUAUCACUUCUAGCUGGACCUGCGCUGUAUUAGCUAGUUGGUACGGUAACGGCUUACCAAGGCAACGAUACGUAGCCGACCUGAGAGAGUGAUCGGCCACACUGGAACGGAGACGCGGUCCAGAGGCCUACGGGAGGCAGCAGUAGGGAAUCUUCCGCAAUGGUCGAAAGCCUGACAGAGCGACGCCACGUGAGUUAUGAAGGUCUUCGGAGCGUAAAACUCUGUUAUGAGGUAAGAACAAACGUGUAAGUAACUGUGCACGUCUUGACGGUACCUAAUCAGAAAGCCACGGCUAACUACGUG
RNAcentral lists this ribosomal RNA (497 nucleotides) under uncultured bacterium. RNAcentral describes it as "partial 16S ribosomal RNA". It matches the Rfam family "Bacterial small subunit ribosomal RNA", at positions 28 to 507 of the family's 1533-position model. The record is from RNAcentral.